GUGGGGAAUAUUGGGCAAUGGGCGAAAGCCUGACCCAGCAACGCCGCGUGAGGGAAGAAGGUUUUCGGAUCGUAAACCUCUGUCCUUAGUGAAGAGAAAGAGACGGUAGCUAAGGAGGAAGCCCCGGCUAACUACGUGCCAGCAGCCGCGGUAAUACGUAGGGGGCGAGCGUUGUCCGGAAUGAUUGGGCGUAAAGGGCGCGUAGGCGGCCUGUUAAGUCCGGAGGGAAAUUCCUGCUUUCAAGGUAGGAAGUGCUUUGGAAACUGGCGGGCUGGAGUGCAGGAGAGGUUAGCGGAAUUCCCGGUGUAGCGGUGAAAUGCGUAGAGAUCGGGAGGAACACCAGUGGCGAAGGCGGCUAACUGGACUGUAACUGACGCUGAGGCGCGAAAGUGUGGGGAGCAAACAGGAUUAGAUACCCCAGUAGUCC
RNAcentral lists this ribosomal RNA (427 nucleotides) under uncultured bacterium. RNAcentral describes it as "partial 16S ribosomal RNA". It matches the Rfam family "Bacterial small subunit ribosomal RNA", at positions 354 to 796 of the family's 1533-position model. The record is from RNAcentral.